CAGCAAGCCUGCAGCGUGCUGGGGUCUGCAGUGACCCUGCUGCAUUCCUACACUGCUUGCCAGGACACUUUUGAAAUGGUUUGAGGCCUUGCCCUGCCCUCUCCAGAGCAAGGUGAUAGAAAUUCCAGACAAUU
Molecule: non-coding RNA, 134 nt
Organism: Ictidomys tridecemlineatus (thirteen-lined ground squirrel)
Lineage: Eukaryota; Metazoa; Chordata; Mammalia; Rodentia; Sciuridae
Source: Rfam